AGAUUGAACGCUAGCGGGAUGCUUUACACAUGCAAGUCGAACGGCAGCGCGGACUUCGGUCUGGCGGCGAGUGGCGAACGGGUGAGUAAUAUAUCGGAACGUGCCCAGUAGCGGGGGAUAACUACGCGAAAGCGUGGCUAAUACCGCAUACGCCCUACGGGGGAAAGGGGGGGAUCGCAAGACCUCUCACUAUUGGAGCGGCCGAUAUCAGAUUAGCUAGUGGUGAGGUAAAGGCUCACCAAGGCGACGAUCUGUAGCUGGUUUGAGAGGACGACCAGCCACACUGGGACUGAGACACGGCCCAGACUCCUACGGGAGGCAGCAGUGGGGAAUUUGGACAAUGGGGGAAACCUGAUCCAGCCAUCCCGCGUGUGCGAUGAAGGCCUUGGGUUGUAAGCACGUUUGACGAGGAAGAAACGGACGUCGGACCCUAAGUACGGUCCGUACACGUCGACGGUACC
This 461-nucleotide ribosomal RNA is filed under the name uncultured soil bacterium. RNAcentral describes it as "bacterial SSU rRNA". It matches the Rfam family "Bacterial small subunit ribosomal RNA", at positions 26 to 492 of the family's 1533-position model. The record is from RNAcentral.